Long non-coding RNA from Neolamprologus brichardi, 1315 nucleotides. RefSeq lists it as uncharacterized. The record is from RefSeq and is a predicted model, not a curated record. NCBI's taxonomy places the organism in Eukaryota, Metazoa, Chordata, Actinopteri, Cichliformes, Cichlidae.
CUGCUAGCAAUUACCCGAUAGCCACAUUAGCGUGUACUACGGUAGCAGCUAGCGGCUAUGGCUAAACCUUAAUGUGAACGCUAGGUAGCAAGCGUUAUCAGUCCUGCAGAUCUGUAACGUCAAAGAUUGAAGCUGAUAAAAGCCUACCAGCAAGUAGACAGAAACGUUGGCAGCCUACCUUAACAACUCUAAUUGAUGAGCAACGACAUAUGGAGGAACCAACACACCACAGAUGGCUUCCUGAACCCUGAAACCCCAGUGUCCUCUGGUCAACACCUGUCUGCAGCACGCCGGCCGAGCCAGAGGUUUUCUGAUGUACAGCAGAAUGUGUGUUGUGUUGUAAAAAAACCACAAGUGGCCAGGAUAAAACCAGAGAAUAUCAGAGACAGUACUGAGAGAGCUGGAGAGAAGCCCGCUGCCUCCAGUGGGAUCAGCAUGUCGUGGGCUUCCUUCCUGAGUGUGACAGAGCUGCACAGACUCUCUCAGAAAUGUCUCGCUCCAGAAAAAGGCUCUUUGUCCUGUCUGACUCCAGCCAGCACAGGACAAGGAGCAAACAAGCAUGUUUGGAAGUAGGAGUGUGAACACAGACAGAGAGAGCGUGUUUUGAGGAAAGAGACUGCAUGUGUUUGUGUCUAUAAACGGAGAUAUUGUGGAAUCUUGUUUUAUUGUUUGUCUGUUUGGCUGCUUGUGCCAAUGUUGAGAAAGUGUCUGUGUGCCGAGAAGCUUUUAUUUCGUGUUUAUGUGUAGUCCGAUUGCUGCAGAGGACAGAGAUGGGAUGAGAGAAGCACGAGGAGCAGCCAUGUGCUCUACAGAAGCAGAGAAAUGCCUUUGACAAGGAUACAGCUGCAUCAUAGUAUGGCGGUGGCAUAACACGAUGCUGCGUCUCAGCGCUUUUGAACGACUCAGCAGCUCAACAUCCUUCAGGCCAAACAACUACCAGAGUCCUGAUGGCAUAGCUCGGAGUUGUAGCAGCUAUGUGCCAUAAUCUCACAGCACAGGUAGCUUGCUGACAAAGCAGACAGACGAACGUGUUGGAGCUGUGUUAACAGUUUACCUAUUUCAGCUGCGCAGCUCGAGAUGGCUGCGCACCACUGCAGUAAAACCUUAGGGAACAUCGAUCUGCCCUUUUGCACAAAGCUCGUUUUACCCAGAUGAAUGUUCCUGCUGCCUCCGCUGUGUCUUUGGGAGAAAAACGGUGAAAUAAAUACAGUGCAGUGACAAAACAACAGGUCUGGGCUUGUUAGGUGUAUUAGCAUCAGGUGUAGACUGAAGAAUGGGAGCAUGGGUUGGAAAGUGAGAUGGUAAGCGAUGGAUG